This 301-nucleotide non-coding RNA is filed under the name Prunus persica (peach). Lineage: Eukaryota; Viridiplantae; Streptophyta; Magnoliopsida; Rosales; Rosaceae. The record is from RNAcentral.
GCCGAGCUGAGCAACGCAAGCUUGUAACCCAAGUGGGGGCAUCGAAGUGUUGAAACGCUGGCUCAGCUAUAGCGGGUCUGGUCAUGCAUGGGCAAUGUUCUGGCCUGCCCGUUCCAAGCAAGGAGUUGAGCCAUGUGGCUUGGGCGAAGGCUCUGGGCUUCAUGGUUCCUAGAGUGGAUGGCACUGCGUCAGGCUGGUUUCACAGACCAAUGAUUACAACACAAGCUUGUAACCCGAGUGGGGGCUUUGAGGUGUUGGAAUAUUGGCCAAGAAUUAGCGGGUCUGGUGAACAACAACUGCU